GAGAUACCAACUAUUUCUGAGGCGAAGUAUCUUAUUUUGGAAUUUUUGGUCCUCAAUGCUCUUCAACUUUGUAUUUGUUUUGGCUUUCAAACUUUUUUGAUCUCAGCGUCACUGGUGAGUCUUAUGUAGACGAAACGCGCGUCUGGCGUAUAAAAUUAUAACCCUGGUACCUUUGAGAACUAACGAUUAAGUUAUGUCGUCUUAACGAGUGACCAAGUCUUUACAACAAGUUAUCUAAAUCGUUACAACGAGGUGACUUAGUCGUGAUUACGAGGAAAAUAUGUAUGUCAAUGAAUUAGUUUAGUCGUUAAAGCGAGUUAGCAAAGUCGAAGGGUUUAGUUUUUGAAAGUACCAUAAGUCAUGUUCGAAAAAAUAUCUAACGACAUGUAUGUCCUACCCUGGAUCAUCCUAGGAUACAUCUAAGACUGUGAAUGAAAGGUGUCAUAAAAAAGUCAUAAUCAGGGUCGUCAUAGGACUAUUCUACAUGAUAUAUGCGUUGUAUGUAAAACAUUCUUUCGUCCCUUACAUCCAAUUUCUAUAUCUAAUGAUUAUUACAGGAA
RNAcentral lists this long non-coding RNA (560 nucleotides) under Mytilus galloprovincialis (Mediterranean mussel). The record is from RNAcentral. Lineage: Eukaryota; Metazoa; Mollusca; Bivalvia; Mytilida; Mytilidae.